Molecule: unclassified non-coding RNA, 402 nt
Filed under: soil metagenome
Description: partial contains 5.8S ribosomal RNA, internal transcribed spacer 2, and large subunit ribosomal RNA
Rfam family: 5.8S ribosomal RNA (bases 1-121)
Source: RNAcentral
GAUGAAGUACGCAGUGAAAUGCGAUAAGUAAUGUGAAUUGCAGAAUUCAGUGAAUCAUCGAAUCUUUGAACGCACCUUGCGCCCUUUGGCUAUUCCGAAGGGCAUGCCUGUUUGAGUAUCAUGAAAACCUCAACUCUCAUGGCUUGCCAUGAUGAGCUUGGACUCUGGGGGUCUUGCUGGCUUUACGGUCAGCUCCUCUCAAAUAAAUCAGCUUGCCGGUGUUUGGUGGGAUCACAGGUGUGAUAACUAUCUACGCUUGUGGUUUUCCGCCAGGUAACCUUCAGCAAUGGAGGUUCGCUGGAGCUCAUAAAUGUCUCUCCUCAGCGAGGACAGAUUUUGACCGUUUGAUCUCAAAUCAGGUAGGACUACCCGCUGAACUUAAGCAUAUCAAUAAGCGGAGGA